GGUCAAGUUAUUAAGGGCAUAAGGCGGAUGCCUUGGCAUUAGGAGCCGAUGAAGGACGUGGUAAGCUGCGAUAAGCUUCGGGGAGGUGCAAGCAACCUUUGAGCCGAAGAUUUCCGAAUGGGGAAACCCACUUGGGGUAAUGCUCAAGUAUCUUCAGGUGAAUACAUAGCCUGUUGAGGGGAACUCGGGGAACUGAAACAUCUAAGUACCCGAAGGAAGAGAAAGAAAAGAUCGAUUCCCUAAGUAGCGGCGAGCGAACGGGGAUUAGCCCAAACCAGAGAGGUUUUCCUCUCUGGGGUU
Molecule: non-coding RNA, 300 nt
Filed under: Peptoclostridium litorale DSM 5388
Lineage: Bacteria; Bacillati; Bacillota; Clostridia; Peptostreptococcales; Peptoclostridiaceae
Description: Bacterial large subunit ribosomal RNA
Rfam family: Bacterial large subunit ribosomal RNA
Source: Rfam by way of RNAcentral